This 597-nucleotide ribosomal RNA is filed under the name uncultured bacterium. Its description in RNAcentral is "bacterial SSU rRNA". It matches the Rfam family "Bacterial small subunit ribosomal RNA", at positions 112 to 704 of the family's 1533-position model. The record is from RNAcentral.
AAUACUUAGGAAUCUGCCCAUUAAUGGGGGACAACAGUUGGAAACGACUGCUAAUACCGCAUACGCCCUACGGGGGAAAGCAGGGGAUCUUCGGACCUUGCGUUAAUGGAUGAGCCUAAGUCGGAUUAGCUAGUUGGUGGGGUAAAGGCCUACCAAGGCGACGAUCUGUAGCGGGUCUGAGAGGAUGAUCCGCCACACUGGGACUGAGACACGGCCCAGACUCCUACGGGAGGCAGCAGUGGGGAAUAUUGGACAAUGGGGGGAACCCUGAUCCAGCCAUGCCGCGUGUGUGAAGAAGGCCUUUUGGUUGUAAAGCACUUUAAGCGAGGAGGAGGCUACUAGUAUUAAUACUACUGGAUAGUGGACGUUACUCGCAGAAUAAGCACCGGCUAACUCUGUGCCAGCAGCCGCGGUAAUACAGAGGGUGCGAGCGUUAAUCGGAUUUACUGGGCGUAAAGCGUGCGUAGGUGGCCAAUUAAGUCAAAUGUGAAAUCCCCGAGCUUAACUUGGGAAUUGCAUUCGAUACUGGUUGGCUAGAGUAUGGGAGAGGAUGGUAGAAUUCCAGGUGUAGCGGUGAAAUGCGUAGAGACCUGGAGG